UGGUGGAGUGAUUUGUCUACUUAAUUGUGAUAACGAACGAGACCUUAUUCUGUUAAAUAGGGGUAGGAAUUUGACUCGCAAGGGUCUGUAUUUAUAUACACUUCUUAAAGGGACUUCUUGGGAUUGCAACCAAGAGGAAGAAAGAGGCAAAAUCA
Molecule: ribosomal RNA, 155 nt
Filed under: uncultured eukaryote
Lineage: Eukaryota
Description: partial 18S ribosomal RNA
Rfam family: Eukaryotic small subunit ribosomal RNA
Source: RNAcentral